Molecule: ribosomal RNA, 494 nt
Filed under: uncultured bacterium
Lineage: Bacteria
Description: partial 16S ribosomal RNA
Rfam family: Bacterial small subunit ribosomal RNA
Source: RNAcentral
GACGAACGCUGGCGGCGUGCCUAAUACAUGCAAGUAGAACGCUGAAGGAGGAGCUUGCUUCUCUGGCUGAGUUGCGAACGGGUGAGUAACGCGUAGGUAACCUGCCUGGUAGCGGGGGAUAACUAUUGGAAACGAUAGCUAAUACCGCAUAAUAGUAGAUGUUGCAUGACAUUUGCUUAAAAGGUGCAAUUGCAUCACUACCAGAUGGACCUGCGUUGUAUUAGCUAGUUGGUGGGGUAACGGCUCACCAAGGCGACGAUACAUAGCCGACCUGAGAGGGUGAUCGGCCACACUGGGACUGAGACACGGCCCAGACUCCUACGGGAGGCAGCAGUAGGGAAUCUUCGGCAAUGGACGGAAGUCUGACCGAGCAACGCCGCGUGAGUGAAGAAGGUUUUCGGAUCGUAAAGCUCUGUUGUAAGAGAAGAACGAGUGUGAGUGUGGAAAGUGCACACUGUGACGGUAUCUUACCAGAAAGGGACGGCUAACUACGU